Molecule: ribosomal RNA, 497 nt
Filed under: uncultured bacterium
Lineage: Bacteria
Description: partial 16S ribosomal RNA
Rfam family: Bacterial small subunit ribosomal RNA
Source: RNAcentral
GAUGAACGCUGGCGGCGUGCCUAAUACAUGCAAGUCGAGCGAACGGACGAGAAGCUUGCUUCUCUGAUGUUAGCGGCGGACGGGUGAGUAACACGUGGAUAACCUACCUAUAAGACUGGGAUAACUUCGGGAAACCGGAGCUAAUACCGGAUAAUAUUUUGAACCGCAUGGUUCAAAAGUGAAAGACGGUCUUGCUGUCACUUAUAGAUGGAUCCGCGCUGCAUUAGCUAGUUGGUAAGGUAACGGCUUACCAAGGCAACGAUGCAUAGCCGACCUGAGAGGGUGAUAGGCCACACUGGAGCUGAGACACGGUCCAGACUCCUACGGGAGGCAGCAGUAGGGAAUCUUCCGCAAUGGGCGAAAGCCUGACGGAGCAACGCCGCGUGAGUGAUGAAGGUCUUCGGAUCGUAAAACUCUGUUAUUAGGGAAGAACAUAUGUGUAAGUAACUGUGCACAUCUUGACGGUACCUAAUCAGAAAGCCACGGCUAACUACGUG